CAGCACCUCAAGUGGUCAGGAUGAUUAUUGGGCCUAAAGCAUCCGUAGCCGGCUCUGUAAGUUUUCGGUUAAAUCUGUACGCUCAACGUACAGGCUGCCGGGAAUACUGCAGAGCUAGGGAGUGGGAGAGGUAGACGGUACUCGGUAGGAAGGGGUAAAAUCCUUUGAUCUAUUGAUGACCACCUGUGGCGAAGGCGGUCUACCAGAACACGUCCGACGGUGAGGGAUGAAAGCUGGGGGAGCAAUCCGGAUUAGAUACCCGCGUAGUCC
This 270-nucleotide ribosomal RNA is filed under the name uncultured archaeon. RNAcentral's name for it is "partial 16S ribosomal RNA". It matches the Rfam family "Archaeal small subunit ribosomal RNA", at positions 477 to 747 of the family's 1478-position model. The record is from RNAcentral.